CCUACGGGGGGCAGCAGUAGGGAAUCUUCGGCAAUGGACGAAAGUCUGACCGAGCAACGCCGCGUGAGUGAAGAAGGUUUUCGGAUCGUAAAACUCUGUUGUUAGAGAAGAACAAGGAUGAGAGUAACUGUUCAUCCCUUGACGGUAUCUAACCAGAAAGCCACGGCUAACUACGUGCCAGCAGCCGCGGUAAUACGUAGGUGGCAAGCGUUGUCCGGAUUUAUUGGGCGUAAAGCGAGCGCAGGCGGUUUCUUAAGUCUGAUGUGAAAGCCCCCGGCUCAACCGGGGAGGGUCAUUGGAAACUGGGAGACUUGAGUGCAGAAGAGGAGAGUGGAAUUCCAUGUGUAGCGGUGAAAUGCGUAGAUAUAUGGAGGAACACCAGUGGCGAAGGCGGCUCUCUGGUCUGUAACUGACGCUGAGGCUCGAAAGCGUGGGGAGCAAACAGGAUUAGAUACCCCCGUAGUC
Molecule: ribosomal RNA, 465 nt
Filed under: uncultured bacterium
Lineage: Bacteria
Description: bacterial SSU rRNA
Rfam family: Bacterial small subunit ribosomal RNA
Source: RNAcentral